RNAcentral lists this ribosomal RNA (896 nucleotides) under uncultured Bacteroidota bacterium. RNAcentral describes it as "bacterial SSU rRNA". It matches the Rfam family "Bacterial small subunit ribosomal RNA", at positions 30 to 916 of the family's 1533-position model. Lineage: Bacteria; Pseudomonadati; Bacteroidota. The record is from RNAcentral.
UGAACGCUAGCUACAGGCUUAACACAUGCAAGUCGAGGGGAAACGACAUCGAAAGCUUGCUUUUGAUGGGCGUCGACCGGCGCACGGGUGAGUAACGCGUAUCCAACCUGCCCAUCACUUGGGGAUAACCUUGCGAAAGUAAGACUAAUACCCAAUGACGUCCAUAGAAGACAUCUGAAAUGGAUUAAAGAUUUAUCGGUGAUGGAUGGGGAUGCGUCUGAUUAGCUUGUUGGCGGGGUAACGGCCCACCAAGGCGACGAUCAGUAGGGGUUCUGAGAGGAAGGUCCCCCACAUUGGAACUGAGACACGGUCCAAACUCCUACGGGAGGCAGCAGUGAGGAAUAUUGGUCAAUGGGCGAGAGCCUGAACCAGCCAAGUAGCGUGCAGGAUGACGGCCCUAUGGGUUGUAAACUGCUUUUAUAAGGGAAUAAAGUGAGUCUCGUGAGACUUUUUGCAUGUACCUUAUGAAUAAGGACCGGCUAAUUCCGUGCCAGCAGCCGCGGUAAUACGGAAGGUCCGGGCGUUAUCCGGAUUUAUUGGGUUUAAAGGGAGCGUAGGCCGGAGAUUAAGCGUGUUGUGAAAUGUAGACGCUCAACGUCUGCACUGCAGCGCGAACUGGUUUCCUUGAGUACGCACAAAGUGGGCGGAAUUCGUGGUGUAGCGGUGAAAUGCUUAGAUAUCACGAAGAACUCCGAUUGCGAAGGCAGCUCACUGGAGCGCAACUGACGCUGAAGCUCGAGAGUGCGGGUAUCGAACAGGAUUAGAUACCCUGGUAGUCCGCACGGUAAACGAUGGAUGCCCGCUGUUGGUCUGAAUAGGUCAGCGGCCAAGCGAAAGCAUUAAGCAUCCCACCUGGGGAGUACGCCGGCAACGGUGCAACUCAAAGGAAUUGACGG